CACCUCUCAGGGUUGCACCUGGAGAGUUUCCAGUACUCUACCAGUUUUGACUACGGGAGGAAGAGUCAAGCAGAAGCCUAUCCAUUCCUUUCCUAGCUUGGCCAUUGACGAGUGAGUGGAAGAUAAUCUGUGACAAAU
Small nucleolar RNA from Tachyglossus aculeatus (Australian echidna), 138 nucleotides. Lineage: Eukaryota; Metazoa; Chordata; Mammalia; Monotremata; Tachyglossidae. The record is from RefSeq and is a predicted model, not a curated record.